Varroa destructor (honeybee mite) is the source of this 1286-nucleotide long non-coding RNA. The record is from RefSeq and is a predicted model, not a curated record. NCBI's taxonomy places the organism in Eukaryota, Metazoa, Arthropoda, Arachnida, Mesostigmata, Varroidae.
UGAUCCUUCCCAGAAGACCUGUUACAAGAGUCCUACCCCGAAGCCUUUAUUGCGAACUACUGAAUGAACAGUUUCGGCUGUCUCAGUGGGGUGCCGACAUGCCUUCAUUCGUACCAACAAAACGAAAACAUUUUAGAACCAACGGCAGAUUCACGUUUCGUUUCACGGUGGAAGAGUCAGCCAUCUGAAACAGUGUACAACAGCAACACCGGGCGUAAAACUAAAAGCAUCUUUUCGACUAGUUUAUGCGCGCCGUUCCACAACGCUAUCGCGCGGGACGCAUAGAUUUUUCGUCACAUGCUCGAUCCUCUAGAGCUGGUCCCUACGGCUAACGAUAGACGUUCACCGACAGAUCACAAAACAGGAGCCGUAAACGGCACGAAUCGUACGAGUCGUCACGAACGGCAUGGACUUCUUUAAAGAAAUUAUACGCAUUGUGCUACGACAAUGACCUUGGCGUACAAGUGUUCGCGGGAUGGGAUUUUGGUUAACACAUAUGCCAACCUGUACGGUACGUUGUGUUAUAGUGUAAAAUAAGGAUUCAUCUAGUCAGUUGUAUAGAAUGAUCCUUUCGGCUAAACCCUUUAGAACGCUCACUACUGCGCCGCCUGAGAUCUACGGUUAAACGUAUGUAAAAACGAUUUUUACACGUCAGGAACGUUCUUCCUUCAAGCAAGACGCUCGCCUCUCAUUUACACCGUACAAAGCUAUUCAAAUAUAAUUAUUAUAUUAUAAUGAAUUCAAAUCUAAUAAAAUUGUUUUGUUGUAGUAAACGCACCAUACUUACGGAAGCCAUUGAAUAAAAUAAAAUCUUAAAAAAAAAAAGCUAUUAUGUGUCGAAAAUGCGCAAAUGGCCUCAUUUUAUCUAAGUGCGAGAUGCUCCCUUUUGUCUGUAUAAGGUGUGUGCUUUCAUGUUCUUUUUUUUUAUACAAUUUCUGCUUGCCGACUAAUUAAUUGCUACUGAUAGUGAAUCGAAUGGCACCACCCAGCAGUUAGUCGAUAAAUGUGCCUUCACGACUAUAUGCAAGGCUCGCCUACAGAGUUUCGGUGGUGGUAACUUAGGUAAAUUAGGCAACGUUCUCAAGUUGUCAAGCUGUAGCCACAGCUGCGGCUUCACACGUCCUAAAGAUCGAGUGGAUAACGCGUUUGUCUGUUAGGGGUUAGUUGCUUAUUUUUAGGAACAUCUUGCAAUUUCAAAACCGGACGUAGACACGUUUCGUACUGAGAGUCGGUUGUCUAAUGGAGGCAAUUCUGAACGGCUUCAGUACCGGACGUAAAGCAUGCGU